RNAcentral lists this non-coding RNA (46 nucleotides) under Schistosoma haematobium. Lineage: Eukaryota; Metazoa; Platyhelminthes; Trematoda; Strigeidida; Schistosomatidae. The record is from RNAcentral.
GUGCUGCUGAAGAAUCCUACAAUUGGACGAAACGGCUGUCCAGUAC